This 71-nucleotide transfer RNA is filed under the name Cricetulus griseus (Chinese hamster). It matches the Rfam family "tRNA". From Rfam's summary of the family: Transfer RNA (tRNA) molecules are approximately 80 nucleotides in length. Their secondary structure includes four short double-helical elements and three loops (D, anti-codon, and T loops). Further hydrogen bonds mediate the characteristic L-shaped molecular structure. tRNAs have two regions of fundamental functional importance: the anti-codon, which is responsible for specific mRNA codon recognition, and the 3' end, to which the tRNAs corresponding amino acid is attached (by aminoacyl-tRNA synthetases). tRNAs cope with the degeneracy of the genetic code in two manners: having more than one tRNA (with a specific anti-codon) for a particular amino acid; and 'wobble' base-pairing, i.e. permitting non-standard base-pairing at the 3rd anti-codon position. The record is from Rfam by way of RNAcentral. Lineage: Eukaryota; Metazoa; Chordata; Mammalia; Rodentia; Cricetidae.
GAGGUUGUAGCUCAGUGGUAGAGCAUUUGCCUAGCAUACACAAGGCUCUAGAUUCAAUUCCCAGUACUUCA